Molecule: long non-coding RNA, 1389 nt
Organism: Caretta caretta (loggerhead turtle)
Lineage: Eukaryota; Metazoa; Chordata; Testudines; Cheloniidae
Source: RefSeq, a predicted model, not a curated record
GCUGAAAGUGUGGGGUUUUGGGGGCCUGUGAAGAUCAGAAGCCUCAAGCAGCAACCAGAACAGCAGAGACUAAGACAACUGCAGCAGCAUCUUAAGAAGAUUCCGGAAAACAGUUACCCAAAAAAAACAGCAGCAGAAUUCUAAAGGUCACCAUGGCAACGACUUUCAUAGAAGCGCAAUCAGCAGCAACUGCCGCUACGCCUGCAGCAGCAGCAACCAUCGUCUCCAGGUGCUGACACCGUGAUCUCCAGAUACUGACAGAGCAGAAGGACCCCUGAGACGGGUCAGAGGGAAUUAAGAAGAUAGAGUGUAAGUCUGAUUUUACCAUCUCCUGUUCAAGGGUGUCUGGGUAUGUCUGUCAAAAGCUGGAUGCCUGUGCUUCGGAAUGAGAUCUCCCCUACCCAUCUUGCGACCAGCUGAUCACCGCUCAUGAUGAGCUGUUUUCUGACUGACUAUAUCAAAGAGCAAAUACGGAUACAGUUUUCCAAUUACGUUAGAAUGCUUUGCUUUAUACCUUGAGACUUUAAUACUACAGCAAAGAUCAGUUUCAAAAAGGAGAAUUAAUGAAAAGAUCCUGGGGACAGGCAUAGCCAGGAAAUCACCCCACUGGAACCGCAUUGUCAGAGAGCCUAGAGGCUGAGAGCUGUCAGAGGCCAGAGCUAGCAAAGAGGACCAGGAUCUCAGUGUGGAUGACCCUGCUCUCCCAUGGAUUUCAGAGGAUCAACCAGGUUUGGUGACAGGUCUGCAGCCUAUUCUGCAUGUGAGGGAGGAAACCCAUUCUUCCCAAUAGCGAAUGUGGGGGAUCUCCAGAAGAGAAUCCAUAUAGAAGUUUCUUCCUCCAGAGCUCCUUUUCCAGAUUCCCUGGGUAAGAGUGAUCCUGGCCAUAGCUAGAGCUCUAGGGAGAUCCAGAUCCUUUAGCUAGCUAGAUGAUCCAUGAAAAGUUACCGGCAUUUUCUCAGAUAACUGUUGGUCUCAGUAAAAUUCAGCUACAAUAUUCUAUGUGUAUUCCUACAAAUAAGUAAUAAAAAUUGUGUUUUUCCUACAUAUAAACAUGGAAUGAAUUAUUUUAAGAGUUAUAACAAGUUAUUGCAUUAAGCACACUGCAAAGAUGUUUUAAGCAACCAGCAGUGACAAGAAAAUAUGCAAUAUUAGGUUAUACACACAGCCAUUAUUUUAAGCAAAGCCACAGGCAACAAAAAAAACCCGAGGGAAACUAAACAUAAAGACAUACAGAUUCCUGACGGUUUAGAAAAUUAAAGAACUAUAAGAUUGUUUUUCAAAAUUACUUACCUUGAGAUGUCAUUUUAUUAAUAAACAUACACUGAAAAAGCAAAGGUAAUAUUGAAAGAGGAUGUUGACUGAACCCACAAUGGGAUUUAAAUUUACAAC